AUGGAUAGGCCAAGCUCGUUGUCGAACCCACUUUUCGAGGAGCAAGGUGAUGAUUCCGGCUUUGUCUCCAAGAACCACUUCAUCGCGAAACGAGUGCUACAUCAAGAGAAGCUCCCCAAGCUCAAGUCCGCGACUUCCACGAGCUACUACGACCUCGACACCGACCACGAGCUUCCUUUCUAUGGGACUCAAGACCCCGAGGAGUAUCUCGAGUGGGAGUGCAAGAUGGACGACUACCUCAAGCUACAUCAAGUCCAUUCCGAAGACCAAGUGAAGCGUGCCUCAAGUACCUUCCACGAUUACGCAUCGACAUGGUGGCUUCAUACACCUUCGACGACCUUCAUCACGAGUUGGCCCAAGAUGAAGAAAGCUAUGCGGCGAGCGUUUUUGCCUUCCACCUACACGGAACAUCUUCAACGCCAAUUGGAGGACACCAUCCAAGGAUCCAAGUCCCUCGACGAGUACUUCCUCGAGAUGAAGACAGCCUUGCGAUGA
RNAcentral lists this ribosomal RNA (495 nucleotides) under Triticum aestivum (bread wheat). RNAcentral describes it as "partial small subunit ribosomal RNA". Lineage: Eukaryota; Viridiplantae; Streptophyta; Magnoliopsida; Poales; Poaceae. The record is from RNAcentral.